UUUUCCUAGUGUUUCCCACUUCUUCGGAUUGUGUCGUCCGCAUAGGGUCCGGAAAGAACUGUUCGUUACAAUUGUAUUCAUUCUGCAUUGACAGCUGUUUGCAACUUUACCAAUCAUCUAAUUGUGACAGUCACGGUUCUGCGCGGGGUCGUGCCCCCCGCCGCCCGUUCUGUCCACCACACCUGGGGCGCGAACCCGGGUCUCCGGCGUAACGCAACAGGGCACCAACCGCAUGAGCUAAAGGAGACCUCCCUCAGCCCAGGCAGCUGAGGAUCCUGCUUCGCGCAGUGAGGGCGCUGUCACCACGCUAGCUCUG
This 316-nucleotide long non-coding RNA is filed under the name Lepisosteus oculatus (spotted gar). RNAcentral's name for it is "lncRNA (ENSLOCG00000021578.1)". The record is from RNAcentral. Lineage: Eukaryota; Metazoa; Chordata; Actinopteri; Semionotiformes; Lepisosteidae.